AGAGUUUGAUCAUGGCUCAGAUUGAACGCUGGCGGCAUGCCUAACACAUGCAAGUCGAACGGAAACGAUGCUAGCUUGCUAGCAGGCGUCGAGUGGCGGACGGGUGAGUAAUGUAUAGGAACUUGCCCAGUAGUGGGGGACAACUUAUGGAAACGUAAGCUAAUACCGCAUAAUCUCUACGGAGGAAAGCAGGGGCUCUUUGGACCUUGUGCUACUGGAUAGGCCUAUAUCGGAUUAGCUAGUUGGUGAGGUAAAGGCUCACCAAGGCGACGAUCCGUAGCUGGUUUGAGAGAAUGAUCAGCCACACUGGGACUGAGACACGGCCCAGACUCCUACGGGAGGCAGCAGUGGGGAAUAUUGCACAAUGGAGGCAACUCUGAUGCAGCAAUGCCGCGUGUGUGAAGAAGGCCUUAGGGUUGUAAAGCACUUUCAAUAGGGAGGAAAAGUGAGUAGUUAAUACCUGCUCGCCGUGACGUUACCUAUAGAAGAAGGACCGGCUAACUCCGUGCCAGCAGCCGCGGUAAUACGGAGGGUCCGAGCGUUAAUCGGAAUUACUGGGCGUAAAGCGCGCGUAGGCGGAUAUUUAAGUCAGAUGUGAAAUCCCUGGGCUCAACCUAGGAACUGCAUUUGAAACUGAAUAUCUAGAGUAUGGUAGAGGUGAGUGGAAUUUCAGGUGUAGCGGUGAAAUGCGUAGAGAUCUGAAGGAACAUCAGUGGCGAAGGCGACUCACUGGGCCAUUACUGACGCUGAGGUGCGAAAGCGUGGGUAGC
RNAcentral lists this ribosomal RNA (770 nucleotides) under uncultured bacterium. Its description in RNAcentral is "bacterial SSU rRNA". It matches the Rfam family "Bacterial small subunit ribosomal RNA", at positions 8 to 769 of the family's 1533-position model. The record is from RNAcentral.